UAACAGAUGAGCGUAGAUGAGCAGUGUCAGGAAGAGACCACGCAUGUGACUGGAGCUGCGUGACAAGUUGCCAUGUUGUGAAAUCCCAACAUUCCCACAACCCUUUCGCUUUCCGGAGGAGCGGCGGGGGCCAGAGGUUGGAGGAGGACCUGUCUGAAGCGUCACUACCUCCAUUCCUCAUGGCUACAUCUGCCAGAGCCUCCUCCCACCUGUCUGAUGCUGCUUAGAUUUAUGUGGCUGUAUAGGAAGGAGGCCAAUCCAGUGUGCCAGGCCACGUGUAGGCUUCCCUUUACGCUGACAGUUGUGUGUAUGAUACUGUAGCCGGCUCCCAGUGAGGCUCAGCCCACUAUAUCUGAAAUCUGUCAUAAGUGAAAGCUUGAAAAGGUUAGGACAGUUCAGGGAAGAUAAAUGGUGAAUUGGGAGGACAGCUCCUUCUCCCACUACGCACAGAUGCAGAGUUCCUCCCCGUACGCGCUACACAACAGGCGGGCCGGACCGUGCAAGUUUCUACCGAGCAGGCCGUUCACGUGAGCCACUCUAUUACUCUCAUCAAAACAAAUUAUAACGGAUGGUUAUUGGGUUUUCACAAUGUCUUUUGUAUAAUAAAGCUCGUUAACUGCAUUGGGCAAAACAAAUGGGCAGAAUAAUCCGUAUGGUUAUUGACAUUGUGUCAUUUCCAGUUAGCGCAGGAAGAGGACUCUCACUGUGGCUCCGGGCUUCGCCUUCCAUCUCUCAAGAGGAAGAGCACUAAUG
Molecule: long non-coding RNA, 753 nt
Organism: Gasterosteus aculeatus aculeatus (three-spined stickleback)
Lineage: Eukaryota; Metazoa; Chordata; Actinopteri; Perciformes; Gasterosteidae
Source: Ensembl